GACGAACGCUGGCGGCGUGCCUAAUACAUGCAAGUAGAACGCUGAAGGAGGAGCUUGCUUCUCUGGAUGAGUUGCGAACGGGUGAGUAACGCGUAGGUAACCUGCCUGGUAGCGGGGGAUAACUAUUGGAAACGAUAGCUAAUACCGCAUAAGAGUAGAUGUUGCAUGACAUUUGCUUAAAAGGUGCAAUUGCAUCACUACCAGAUGGACCUGCGUUGUAUUAGCUAGUUGGUGGGGUAACGGCUCACCAAGGCGACGAUACAUAGCCGACCUGAGAGGGUGAUCUGCCACACUGGGACUGAGACACGGCCCAGACUCCUACGGGAGGCAGCAGUAGGGAAUCUUCGGCAAUGGACGGAAGUCUGACCGAGCAACGCCGCGUGAGUGAAGAAGGUUUUCGGAUCGUAAAGCUCUGUUGUAAGAGAAGAACGAGUGUGAGAGUGGAAAGUUCACACUGUGACGGUAUCUUACCAGAAAGGGACGGCUAACUACGUG
RNAcentral lists this ribosomal RNA (495 nucleotides) under uncultured bacterium. Its description in RNAcentral is "partial 16S ribosomal RNA". It matches the Rfam family "Bacterial small subunit ribosomal RNA", at positions 28 to 507 of the family's 1533-position model. The record is from RNAcentral.